This 1172-nucleotide ribosomal RNA is filed under the name Menimus sp. NLG-2012. RNAcentral's name for it is "partial 16S ribosomal RNA". Lineage: Eukaryota; Metazoa; Arthropoda; Insecta; Coleoptera; Tenebrionidae. The record is from RNAcentral.
GUUUUAUAAUUGAUAACCCACGAUAAAUUAUACCUAAUUUUUAAAUUUAUAUAUCAUCGUUUACAAGAAUUUUAUUAUUUAAUUUUUUCAGAUCAAGGUGUAGUUAAUAUUUAAGCAAAAAUGGGUUACAUUUAAAAUUUUAAAUAAAUUGGAUUUGAAAGUAAGCUCUAAAAUAUGCACAUAUCGCCCGUCGCUUUCGUUAUAAAAUGAAAUAAGUCGUAACAAAGUAGACUUAUUGGAAAAUGAGUCUAGAAUGCAAGUUAAAGCUUAUUAAGCAUUUUAUUUACAUUAAAAAGUCAAUUGUUAAGUACAAUUUUACUUGAAUUUAUGAUAUUAUUAUAUUUAUUUUUAUUUAAAUUUUAAUAAAAUUAUUUUCAUUUUUAUUAUUUUUUCUAAAAAAUUUUAUUAUAGUCAAAGGUACAUUAAUGGAUUUUAUUAAAAUUUAAAAAAGAAAAUUUAAAUUGUUGUACCUUGUGUAUCAGGGUUAAUUAAUUAGACUUUCCCGAAUUAAGAAGAGUUAAUUUUAUUGUAAAAUAAAUAAUUAUAAUUACUUAUUUGAAAUGAAACGUUAUUCGUUUCUUAAUAUAUCUGGUUUUUUAAGAAAAAAAUUUAAUUUUUUAAUCAAUUAAUAAUUAUAUAGGGGAUAAGCUUUUAAUUUUAACAUUAUAAAUUUAUUUGAAUGAAAGAUUAGUAGGAUUAGAAUUUUCUAUUUUUAAAAUAAUGUUAUAAUUAAUAAGUUUUAAUUUUUUAUUAAAAUUUUAAUUUAAAUAUAUUUAAUUAAGAAAUAAUGAUUGAAUUAGUAAGAUUAUAAAAAGGAAUUCGGCAAAUAUUAUUUUCACCUGUUUAAUAAAAACAUGGCUUUUUGAAUAUAAUUUAAAGUCUGACCUGCCCGAUGAUUCAAUGGCCGCAGUAUUUUAACUGUGCAAAGGUAGCAUAAUCAUUAGUUUUUUAAUUGAAAGCUAGAAUGAAUGGUUUGAUGAAAAAUAAACUGUCUCUAAAAUUUUAAUUUUAAGUGAAAAAGCUUAAAUUUAUUAAAAAGACGAGAAGACCCUAUAGAGUUUUUUUAUUGGGGUGAUAUAAAAAUUAAAUUAACUUUUUAUUUAAAUGAUUAAUUGAUCUUAGAUUAUAAGUUAAAAUUUCCUUAAGGAUAACCGCGUAAUUUUUUUUAAAAG